This 677-nucleotide ribosomal RNA is filed under the name Escherichia coli. Its description in RNAcentral is "partial 23S ribosomal RNA". It matches the Rfam family "Bacterial large subunit ribosomal RNA", at positions 612 to 1288 of the family's 2925-position model. Lineage: Bacteria; Pseudomonadati; Pseudomonadota; Gammaproteobacteria; Enterobacterales; Enterobacteriaceae. The record is from RNAcentral.
AUAAUGGGUCAGCGACUUAUAUUCUGUAGCAAGGUUAACCGAAUAGGGGAGCCGAAGGGAAACCGAGUCUUAACUGGGCGUUAAGUUGCAGGGUAUAGACCCGAAACCCGGUGAUCUAGCCAUGGGCAGGUUGAAGGUUGGGUAACACUAACUGGAGGACCGAACCGACUAAUGUUGAAAAAUUAGCGGAUGACUUGUGGCUGGGGGUGAAAGGCCAAUCAAACCGGGAGAUAGCUGGUUCUCCCCGAAAGCUAUUUAGGUAGCGCCUCGUGAAUUCAUCUCCGGGGGUAGAGCACUGUUUCGGCAAGGGGGUCAUCCCGACUUACCAACCCGAUGCAAACUGCGAAUACCGGAGAAUGUUAUCACGGGAGACACACGGCGGGUGCUAACGUCCGUCGUGAAGAGGGAAACAACCCAGACCGCCAGCUAAGGUCCCAAAGUCAUGGUUAAGUGGGAAACGAUGUGGGAAGGCCCAGACAGCCAGGAUGUUGGCUUAGAAGCAGCCAUCAUUUAAAGAAAGCGUAAUAGCUCACUGGUCGAGUCGGCCUGCGCGGAAGAUGUAACGGGGCUAAACCAUGCACCGAAGCUGCGGCAGCGACGCUGAUGCGUUGUUGGGUAGGGGAGCGUUCUGUAAGCCUGCGAAGGUGUGCUGUGAGGCAUGCUGGAGGUAUCAGAAG